RNAcentral lists this RNase P RNA (235 nucleotides) under Vibrio parahaemolyticus. RNAcentral describes it as "partial RNase P RNA component class A". It matches the Rfam family "Bacterial RNase P class A", at positions 109 to 367 of the family's 367-position model. Rfam says of the family: Ribonuclease P (RNase P) is a ubiquitous endoribonuclease, found in archaea, bacteria and eukarya as well as chloroplasts and mitochondria. Its best characterised activity is the generation of mature 5'-ends of tRNAs by cleaving the 5'-leader elements of precursor-tRNAs. Cellular RNase Ps are ribonucleoproteins. The record is from RNAcentral. Lineage: Bacteria; Pseudomonadati; Pseudomonadota; Gammaproteobacteria; Vibrionales; Vibrionaceae.
GUGCAACAGAAAGAAACCGCCACAAUGGCAAGGGUGGAAAGGCGAGGUAAGAGCUCGCCAGCAUUUAGGUGACUAAAGGGCUAUGUAAACCCCAUCUGGAGCAAGACCAAGAAGGAGCUUAAGAAGAUAGUUGCUCGCUAUCGCUCCAAAGGUAGGUCGCUUGAGCACAUUGGUGACAAUGUGCCUAGAUAGAUGACCAUAUAAACAGAACACGGCUUAUAGACUUACUCAUCAC